UUGUUUUACAUAGACAUAAUAUGGGACUCAUAAUCGCUUGGUCGCUGGUUCAAGUCCAGCAGGGGCCACCA
Molecule: transfer RNA, 71 nt
Filed under: Enterobacter ludwigii
Lineage: Bacteria; Pseudomonadati; Pseudomonadota; Gammaproteobacteria; Enterobacterales; Enterobacteriaceae
Description: tRNA-Met
Source: RNAcentral